RNAcentral lists this transfer RNA (72 nucleotides) under endosymbiont of Sipalinus gigas. It matches the Rfam family "tRNA". From Rfam's summary of the family: Transfer RNA (tRNA) molecules are approximately 80 nucleotides in length. Their secondary structure includes four short double-helical elements and three loops (D, anti-codon, and T loops). Further hydrogen bonds mediate the characteristic L-shaped molecular structure. tRNAs have two regions of fundamental functional importance: the anti-codon, which is responsible for specific mRNA codon recognition, and the 3' end, to which the tRNAs corresponding amino acid is attached (by aminoacyl-tRNA synthetases). tRNAs cope with the degeneracy of the genetic code in two manners: having more than one tRNA (with a specific anti-codon) for a particular amino acid; and 'wobble' base-pairing, i.e. permitting non-standard base-pairing at the 3rd anti-codon position. The record is from Rfam by way of RNAcentral. Lineage: Bacteria; Pseudomonadati; Pseudomonadota; Gammaproteobacteria.
GUCGAUAUAGUUUAAUGAUUAAAACAAUACAUUCGUAAUGUACAGUUAUAGGUUUAAUUCCUAUUAUCGACU